GACGAACGCUGGCGGCGUGCUUAAUACAUGCAAGUCGAACGGAAAGGCCCUGCUUUUGCGGGGUGCUCGUGUGCCGAACGGGUGAGUAACACGCGAGUAACCUGCCCCUGACUUUGGGAUAACUUCAGGAAACUGGGGCUAAUACCGCAUAGGAUCUCCUGCUCCACGGUGGGGGAUGGAAAGUUUCGGCGGUUGGGGCUGGACUCGCAGCUUAUCAGCUUGUUGGUGUGGUAGGGACUUACCAAGUCUUUGACGGGUAGCCGGCCUGAGAGGGUGACCGGGGACAUGGGGACUAAGAGACGGCCCAGACGCGUACGGGAGGCAGCAGUGGGGAACAUUGCGCAGUGAGCGGAAGCCAGAUGCAGCGACGCCGGGUGCGGGAUACCGGCCUACGGGGUGUAAACCGCUUUCGCCUGUGACGAGGCGAGAGUGACGGUAAUGGGUAAAGAAGCACCGGCUAACUACGUG
This 468-nucleotide ribosomal RNA is filed under the name uncultured bacterium. Its description in RNAcentral is "partial 16S ribosomal RNA". It matches the Rfam family "Bacterial small subunit ribosomal RNA", at positions 28 to 507 of the family's 1533-position model. The record is from RNAcentral.